GUUCUGGCUGCUACCUGUUUUAGGGACCGUCAACAAGUUACACAUACCGACUGGUGGCAGAGACGUUUCUGGAAAUAAAUCAUAUAAAAUAAUAUAAAAAUCACUAAAAAAUACAUUUUGUCACCUGAUUGUAGUAGUAGUUGCCAAUGGUGGUCUGCUACUUACUGCAGGUAACUUUGCUAAUAUAUUGCAUUAUUGUUAAACGGAAUGCAAUUAAUAAUUUCAAAUAUAGUUUAGUCGAUUUUUUUUCGAAUAUUAAACUAUUAACUGCAUUAUGAUUAACUAUAUUGCAAUAUAUUUGUGUGAUUAAUUUCCUGAAACAAUUCCAUGGUAACGUCUCUGCCACCUAUCGGUGAGUGUAAUUUGUUGACGGUCCCUAAAACAGGUAGCAGCCAGAACGUAAAUGACGUUGUUGCACAGACAUCGAUGGCGCCAACAUGUGUUUGUGAUUUUUCGCGAUACGGUGUCCUAAACCGUCCUCAACAUACUAAGCCCUAUGGAAGGGGAGAUUUGGAGGUACCUGGUCAGGUCUUGGUCAGCCUUCAAAUCCCAGAUGUGGAGACUGCAGGGAUACCUCACAGAGAAGACACUAAAGAGUCAUCUCUCAUUCAUCGAGUGGACUCAUUGGUUUGCGAAUGACCACAAAGAUGCUCCCAUAGGCAGAUUGCUGCAUGGCAUUCACCACUUAUUCAAAUUGAAGAGGUUGAAGCAGUCUUCCUUGUGGUCACUUGCCAUAACACUCUCAUGUGUUUUAUGAAAACACCAUCAGUAACAUUUAAAUUGAGUUGAUGCAGACGGCUCUUUUUUUUGUCUGAUUUCUUCAGUGUUCAGUGCUUGUUUGUGAGAUAUGCAUUGUUUGAAAGAUAAGCCCUUGAUUUUGUUUAAUUUUAAUAUGCCUUUCAUCAACAGUGGAUUGGGGUUUUAUAACAACAAUUAAAGUGCUUAACUACUGGUGAACGAUGUUGCAGAACAUAUAUGGUUUGUGUUGAUUGCAUGGAGAAGGGAAUAACCAGUUACAACUUGUAUGGUAAGAGCCUGGUAAUACCAUGGAAACAAACGAGGCUUCCUUUUACAGUACAGUUUCAGCUAACUUACUGGGUAAAUUGUCGUGUUUUACUUGGUAACGUCGCAGAACGUACAUGGUACAAGUUUGUGUUGACUGCAUGGAAAAGGGAAUAAUGUAUUACAAAUUAUAUGUUAAGAACCU
This 1207-nucleotide long non-coding RNA is filed under the name Gadus morhua (Atlantic cod). Its description in RNAcentral is "lncRNA (ENSGMOG00000035755.1)". Lineage: Eukaryota; Metazoa; Chordata; Actinopteri; Gadiformes; Gadidae. The record is from RNAcentral.